AAAAUUAAAUGGCAAAAUUAGGGAAAUCUAAUGACGCAAAACUAUAGGGAUUAAAGCUUUUAAAGCCAUAUCAGCCAGUUGCUAAA
This is a regulatory RNA element of 86 nucleotides. It matches the Rfam family "c-di-GMP-I riboswitch aptamer". From Rfam's summary of the family: GEMM was predicted in a large-scale screen for bacterial structured RNA regulatory elements. Genes associated with GEMM are involved in a diverse array of functions, including chemotaxis regulation, signal transduction, secretion and chitin. The record is from Rfam.